AAACCAUGAUUAGAACAUUUGCAAAGAAAACUCUUAUAACGAUCCCAACAUUCAUACAUAGAUUCAUCAUCAUCCUGGUGAAAGGAUGCUAUGUCAUUUCUUAGCU
Molecule: small nucleolar RNA, 106 nt
Organism: Hibiscus syriacus
Lineage: Eukaryota; Viridiplantae; Streptophyta; Magnoliopsida; Malvales; Malvaceae
Source: RefSeq, a predicted model, not a curated record